This 449-nucleotide ribosomal RNA is filed under the name uncultured bacterium. RNAcentral describes it as "partial 16S ribosomal RNA". It matches the Rfam family "Bacterial small subunit ribosomal RNA", at positions 329 to 793 of the family's 1533-position model. The record is from RNAcentral.
UUCCAGACUCCUACGGGAGGCAGCAGUGGGGGAUAUUGCACAAUGGGGGAAACCCUGAUGCAGCGACGCCGCGUGGGCGAAGAAGUAUUUCGGUAUGUAAAGCCCUAUCAGCAGGGAAGAAGAAAUGACGGUACCUGAGUAAGAAGCACCGGCUAAAUACGUGCCAGCAGCCGCGUUAAUACGUAUGGUGCAAGCGUUAUCCGGAUUUACUGGGUGUAAAGGGAGCGCAGGCGGCACGGCAAGCCUGAUGUGAAAGCCCGCGGCCCAACCGCGGGACUGCAUUGGGAACUGCCGGGCUGGAGUGCAGGAGGGGCAGGCGGAAUUCCUGGUGUAGCGGUGAAAUGCGUAGAUAUCAGGCGGAACACCGGUGGCGAAGGCGGCCUGCUGGACUGCGACUGACGUUGAGGCCCGAAAGCGUGGGGAGCAAACAGGAUUAGAUACCCCUGUAC